UAGGGAAUCUUCCGCAAUGGGCGAAAGCUUGACGGAGCAACGCCGCGUGAGUGAUGAAGGUCUUCGGAUCGUAAAACUCUGUUAUUAGGGAAGAACAAAUGUGUAAGUAACUAUGCACGUCUUGACGGUACCUAAUCAGAAAGCCACGGCUAACUACGUGCCAGCAGCCGCGGUAAUACGUAGGUGGCAAGCGUUAUCCGGAAUUAUUGGGCGUAAAGCGCGCGUAGGCGGUUUUUUAAGUCUGAUGUGAAAGCCCCCGGCUCAACCGGGGAGGGUCAUUGGAAACUGGUUGACUUGAGUGCAGAAGAGGAGAGUGGAAUUCCAUGUGUAGCGGUGAAAUGCGUAGAUAUAUGGAGGAACACCAGUGGCGAAGGCGACUCUCUGGUCUGUAACUGACGCUGAGGUUCGAAAGCGUGGGUAGCAAACAGG
Molecule: ribosomal RNA, 429 nt
Filed under: Bacteroidota bacterium
Lineage: Bacteria; Pseudomonadati; Bacteroidota
Description: Bacteroidetes bacterium partial 16S ribosomal RNA
Rfam family: Bacterial small subunit ribosomal RNA
Source: RNAcentral